GCUAGUUGGUGAGGUAAAGGCCCACCAAGGCGAUGAUGGGUAGCCGGCCUGAGAGGGUGUACGGCCACACUGGGACUGAGAUACGGCCCAGACUCCUACGGGAGGCAGCAGCUAAGAAUAUUCCGCAAUGGACGAAAGUCUGACGGAGCGACGCCGCGUGGAUGAAGAAGGCCGAAAGGUUGUAAAGUUCUUUUGCUAGGGGAGAAUAAGUGAGGGAGGGAAUGCCCUCAUGAUGACAAGGACUAGCGAAUAAGCCCCGGCCAACUACGUGCCAGCAGCCGCGGUAACACGUAGGGGGCGAGCGUUGUUCGGAAUUACUGGGCGUAAAGGGCAUGUAGGCGGCUUGGUAAGCCUGGCGUGAAAGACUGCAGCUUAACUGUAGGGAUGCGUUGGGAACUGCUUAGCUUGAGUUACGGAGAGGGAGCUGGAAUUCCUGGUGUAGGGGUGAAAUCUGUAGAUAUCAGGAAGAACACCGAUGGCGAAGGCAAGCUUCUGGUCGAUAACUGACGCUGAGGUGCGAAAGUGUGGGGAUCAAACAGGAUUAGAUACCCUGGUAGUCCACACUGUAAACGAUGUGCACGAGGUGCUGGGGCGGUAGUUUCAGUG
RNAcentral lists this ribosomal RNA (606 nucleotides) under uncultured bacterium. RNAcentral's name for it is "bacterial SSU rRNA". It matches the Rfam family "Bacterial small subunit ribosomal RNA", at positions 244 to 845 of the family's 1533-position model. The record is from RNAcentral.